Molecule: ribosomal RNA, 793 nt
Filed under: Labrys chinensis
Lineage: Eukaryota; Metazoa; Nematoda; Chromadorea; Rhabditida; Tylenchidae
Description: partial large subunit ribosomal RNA
Rfam family: Eukaryotic large subunit ribosomal RNA
Source: RNAcentral
ACAAGUACCGUGAGGGAAAGUUGCAAAGCACUUUGAAGAGAGAGUUAAAGAGGACGUGAAACCGAUGAGGUGGAAGCGGAUAGAGCCAACGUAUCUGGCUUGCAUUCAGCCGGGCGGGUGGCGUCCGCCCUGCGAGUGGAACCCGCUUCUGGUCCGCUCGUGGGUGCUGGCCGUCGGCCGUCGGUGCAUUUGUGAGUGGAGUGCGCUGAGGUGUGCGCCACAGCGAUCCGAGACGCUCGCCAGAGGACUCCUCUUCGGGGGAGAAACCCGGCGACGUGGAGGACUGUUUGCGGCGCAUUCACCCAGGGCGGGAUGGCCUUUGCGAUCCGACGGCCAUCGCUUCGGCCCCACGGUGCCGGUCACAUGUGACACGGGCUGUGGGGCAGGAGUCGGUGGCUGGCGGAUCCCGUCCCGCCCGCAAUCUCGGCGUAAAAGUUGGUCAUCUCUCCGACCCGUCUUGAAACACGGACCAAGGAGUUUAGCCUAUGCGCGAGUCACUGGGUGGAAAACCCACAGGCGCAAUGAAAGUGAAGCCUCUCCUCGCGAGGGCGAUAUGCGAUCCGGUGGCCCUCGGGUCGCCGGCGCAGCAUAGCCCCGUCCCGAUCGCUUGCGAUGGGGCGGCGGAAGAGCGUAUGGGCUGAGACCCGAAAGAUGGUGAACUAUGCCUGAGCAGGACGAAGCCAGAGGAAACUCUGGUGGAAGUCCGAAGCGGUUCUGACGUGCAACUCGAUCGUCUGACUUGGGUAUAGGGGCGAAAGACUAAUCGAACCAUCUAGUAGCUGGUUCCUUCCGA